GAUGAAGAACGCAGCGAAAUGCGAUAAGUAGUGUGAAUUGCAGAAUUCAGUGAAUCAUCGAAUCUUUGAACGCACAUUGCGCCCUUUGGUAUUCCUUAGGGCAUGCCUGUUCGAGCGUCAUUUCAAACUUCAAGCCCCCCUCAUGGCUUGGUGUUGGGCGUCUGUCCUCCCUGGACUCGCCUCAAAUGCAUUGGCAGCCGGUACGUUGGCUUCGAGCGCAGCAGAAACGCGCGCGGCGUCCGACGGUGCCUGGCUCUCCAGGAAGCCUCCACCCCAAGUUUGACCUCGGAUCAGGUAGGGAUACCCGCUGAACUUAAGCAUAUCAAUAAGCGGAGGA
This 337-nucleotide unclassified non-coding RNA is filed under the name soil metagenome. Its description in RNAcentral is "partial contains 5.8S ribosomal RNA, internal transcribed spacer 2, and large subunit ribosomal RNA". The stretch from base 1 to 120 matches the Rfam family "5.8S ribosomal RNA", at positions 35 to 154 of the family's 154-position model. The record is from RNAcentral.